CCCUUAGAUGUUCUGGGCCGCACACGCGCUACACUGAAGGAGGCAGCGUGUACUCCUGGAUCGAAAGAUUUGGGUAACCCGCGAAUCUCCUUCGUGCUGGGGAUUGAGGUUUGCAAUUAUCCUUCAUGAACGAGGAAUUCCCAGUAAGUGCAAGUCAUAAGCUUGCGCUGACUACGUCCCUGCCCUUUGUACACACCGCCCGUCGCUACUACCGAUUGAAUGAUUUAGUGAGGACUUCGGACUGGGACCGAUGCGGCUUUCGGGCUGCGUCGGUAUUCUGGAAAGAUGUCCAAACUGUAUCAUUUAGAGGAAGUAAAAGUCGUAACA
RNAcentral lists this ribosomal RNA (327 nucleotides) under uncultured eukaryote. Its description in RNAcentral is "partial 18S ribosomal RNA". It matches the Rfam family "Eukaryotic small subunit ribosomal RNA", at positions 1470 to 1796 of the family's 1831-position model. The record is from RNAcentral.